This 651-nucleotide ribosomal RNA is filed under the name Triticum aestivum (bread wheat). RNAcentral's name for it is "partial small subunit ribosomal RNA". The record is from RNAcentral. Lineage: Eukaryota; Viridiplantae; Streptophyta; Magnoliopsida; Poales; Poaceae.
AUGGCCGCCUUGCUCCACGUAAUGGCUCUCCAGCCCGCCCCUUACCCUCAUCACCAACAGAUGCACAGCCUAUCCUCCACUUCCAUCCUUUCACCACCUCGCGCGACGCCGUCCAGGCAACGACGAGCCCCGGCCCGGCGGCUACACGCGGCCGGCAACGGCAGCGGCGUCGGCACGCCAGCCGCGGACAGCACAGGAAACAAGAAGACGAGCCGCAAGGAGAAGCAGCGGCAGCAGCAGCGGGUGCGGGAGCGGGAGGAGCAGCAGCAGCUGCUGCUCCUGAAGGAGUCGCUCGUGGAGCCCGCCCGCGAGGAGGACGGCGGCGGCCGCGGCGACGACGAGCUGCCGCAGGUGGUGUUCGACCGCAUCCUCCGGCGGAUCCUGUUCACGGUGGGCGUCCCGAUGGCGUCGGGCGUGGCGCUCCUCAACGUGUACGACGCGCUCAAGCGCGGCGGCGGGGCGGAGGUGCCGUCGUGGGUGCAGCUGCUCACCAUCCUCCUCUCCUUCGGCACGUCGGCGCUCGGCAUCGCCUACGGGACGCUGUCGGCGAGCUGGGACCCGGAGAAGGAAGGCUCGCUGCUCGGCGUCGACGAGGCCCGGACCAACUGGCCGGAGCUGUGGAAGGAAGAGAUCGACAAGGAUAACAAGUAG